AACCGACUUACUCGGUUUAUAACUAACUUAUAUCACACUUGCGGAGGUUUUCCAACAUAUUUUGUCAUUUUCAAAAAUUUUUAAUGAAAAAUUCUCGCGUUUUGUCUACAAAUUUAAUCUAAUCAUUUAUUCAAGGUCUAUAAGCUAGUUAUAAACCUCGGACGAUCAAAGAAAACCGACGCAAGUGUGAUAUAAUGACAGUUAUUGAAUUAUUACUUUCAGGUUUGAUGAUACAGAACGUUCUAUAUCAUUCUGUUUAGGACUUUACAUUGUGUAUAUUUACAUAUAAAAUAUAUAAUAUAUUUAACCCAAAUGCCUUGCCACGACUGAAUUUUUGUUCAUAAAUAUUCAUCAAUUCCACAAUACGGGCUACACAAUUUUAAAACAACAAACUACAUGAAAACAAUUGAACAUAAGCCUGGUUCACAUAAAAUCGUUAAGCAGUCGCAGACAUGUGCCGAAUUUUUAUAUGAACACAAAUGCAGAUUCGCGCAGACUGUCUAAGACCGGAUCGGCGACGGAUCGGGAAAGUUGAACUUGAUUCAACUUUCCCGAUCCAUCGCAGAUCGUUCAUACAAAAAUUAGGCACAUGUCUGCGACUGCUUAACGAUUUUAUGUGAACCAGGCUAUACACAGUACAGCAAACAGUACAGGCUGCACAGCACAACACGACCACAUACACACAACAAAAUUCCGCUCAAUUACUCGACGUAGAUACAGAAUCAUCGCAUCAUCAUAGCGUGAUAUUAAUAUGUCUGCAAUGACGCUAUUUGAUCUAACUGUUUAGGAAUAACAUGAACUUCAUCUGAGACGACAACCAACAAAUUCUCCUCAUAAACGUUUCCACGAACAAUCGCUUUUUGUUAACGAAAUGCACUCACUUGUCGAACAGUAUAAAUAGAAUACAGCAAACGUUUAUUGAUGAUUGCCGAUAAGGCCCGAUAAACCAAUCAGAUGUCUAGGGUCAAAAUCUGAUCCUAGGCAUCUGAUUGGUUCGGCGAAAUCAAUCAAUCAACACAUCGCGCCCAGGGGGUUUCCAAUUUGGCCAGCACCGCCUGAGUGCAGGCUUCAGCAAAACAGGAAACCCCCUGAUCCAGGGUACUUUAAACACUGCUUAACUGUGAAACUAUUGAAAUCUAAACUAAAGUGACAUUAUUCAACACACGCGAAAAGCUGAAAAUAGACGUUACACUGGGAAAAGUCAAAGGUCAAUGAGACUUGUUGUUGUGAAACUAGUCACAAUUAGGUUAAAAUGCGGAAGCGGAUGGAGCGGAUCCACGGAACGGAUAUGCGGAUAAAAUACGGAACGGAUGAGGAUAAAAUGCGUCCUUUUAAUGAUGUAACGACGUAGUGCUUUUUAUUCAUAACAUAUGUUAUUGUUAUCAAAUUUUUUUUUAUUAUCCGAGGAACAGGAUCGGUAAAACUAAUUUUCUGCGAUUAACAAAUUAUCAGCAAAUACAUAUGGCGACAAAAUUUGGCAGUUUCGACAAUUUCUUUGUUUUCACUUGAUAAUAUCUAGCGAAGGAUGCAUUUUUCGUUUUAUGCGCUGCAUUUUAACACAUGAAACCUUUGAAAUUUUUGAAUUUUAUCGCCGUAUUUGUCUAUAAAUCGGUAACCGUUACAGUAUUACAGAACAAAUUACAGGAAAUGUCAAUGCCAAUGGGAAGGUUCUUGUAUUUUGAAUUUUUUACUGUAAUAAGGUUCUCUUGCUCUCUUCUUCUUUCUUCAUUUGUUCCUCUGUUCUGUCUUGUAAAAUGCUACUAUAAUAAUAUACAUGAAAAAAUUUCUAUAUUUUGAUUGACUAAGAGCAGUGCAAUUUUUUUUUAAAUACAGUGCAAAAAAAUGAAAUACAGUGCAAAAAAUGAAAUACAGUGCAAAAAAAUGAAAUACAGUGCAAAAAAAUGAAAUACAGUGCAAAAAAAUGAAAUACAGUGCAAAAAAAUGAAAUACAGUGCAAAAAAAUGAAAUACAGUGCAAAAAAAUGAAAUACAGUGCAAAAAAAUGAAAUACAGUGCAAAAAAAUGAAAUACAGUGCAAAAAAAUGAAAUACAGUGCAAAAAAAUGAAAUACAGUGCAAAAAAAUGAAAUACAGUGCAAAAAAUGAAAUACAGUGCAAAAAAGCGAAAUACAGUGCAAAAAAUGAAAUACAGUGCCAAGUGAAAUUCAGUGCAAAAAAAAUGAAAUACAGUGCAAAAAAGUGAAAUACAGUGCAAAAAAAUGAAAUACAGUGCAAAAAAAUGAAAUACAGUGUAAAAAAGUGAAAUACAGUGCAAAAAAUGAAAUACAGUGCAAAAAAGCGAAAUACAGUGCAAAAAAUGAAAUACAGUGCCAAGUGAAAUUCAGUGCAAAAAAAAUGAAAUACAGUGCAAAAAAGUGAAAUACAGUGCAAAAAAAUGAAAUACAGUGCAAAAAAAUGAAAUACAGUGUAAAAAAGUGAAAUACAGUGCAAAAAAUGAAAUACAGUGCAAAAAAGCGAAAUACAGUGCAAAAAAUGAAAUACAGUGCCAAGUGAAAUUCAGUGCAAAAAAAAUGAAAUACAGUGCAAAAAAGUGAAAUACAGUGCAAAAAAAUGAAAUACAGUGCAAAAAGUGAAAAUAAUACAAAAACCCAAACAUUUACGAGUGACCGUGAAAUAUCAAAUAUGUCUGGCGUUUUUAGUAGAUUUUCUAAUAAAAUUGUUUAUAUUAAAAUUAUCGGUUUCGCAUGUGACCUACGCAUGGACAUGCACAUGACUGCAUGAUGCAGACGACUUUGAUAUACACAUGAAAAUCUCACAACUUGUAGCAAGUCUGCCAACAAGCCUGACACAAGUUGUGUUCGCACUGCUUGUCCCAAGUUGACAACACGUUUGGAACAAGCUGUUAACAACUUGUAACAACCUUGUUGAUAUUAUUAGGCUUGUUACAAGGUUGUUCCAACAAGUCCGAUACAAUUAUGAUAUAACAAUGUUGCUACAACCUUGUGUCGUCAACCUUGUAACAUUCUUGUUAUAUCAUGACUGUAUCAGACUUGUUAGAACAACUUUGCUACAAGUCUGAUAAUGCCAUCAAGCUUGUUACAAGUUGUUAACAGCUUGUUCCAAACUUGUUACAACAACUGGGAACAAGCAGUGCGAAGACAACUUGUCAACAGCUAGUGAACAGAUUUGUAACAACUUGUUUGCAGACUUGUAACCACUUGUGCGUUUUUCCGUGUGUACACGCACAAUUAGCUCAGAACUUGUCAACAAGAUGUGUUCGCAACAGGCUUGUAGCAAGCUUGUCAACAAGUUGUAACAAUGUUGUUAUUUCAUCAAGUUGCUACAAGGUUGUCACUCACAACUUGUUGACAAAUUGUUGAAUUGCAGGACGAUAACAAGUUGUUGGAACAACAACCAAUGGAUCAAAAUGCUGAACAGCCAAAGCAAAAUCAUACCCAUCUGGCUACAAAGUCAUAAUAAUAACUUGUCUGGAUAGUUUUAUCACUGCUCACAAAAUUAAUUAUUUCUAAUAAUUGAUAAUUGAUUAUUCUUUAAUAAAGAGGUUGAACUAUGAACUGUCUCACCAUCAAAUAAUUCUGCAAUUAGAGCGAAAAGAGACUAUAUAAUUAAAAUGUUGUAAAAUAAAGUUUUCACUAGAGACAAAACUAAGAAGUAAAGAAAGGAAAUGAGAAAAGCAGCUUAAGCCACCACACUAUUUAAAGGCUUGAAUGUAUCAUGCAACUACCUGAAAAAUAAUACUAUAGGUCUUUCACUUGAAAUGUUGAAGUUCAUUGAUUUCUUAGUUUCAGGUAGUUGCAUCAUACAGUGGUGCACAGAGAGAGGAAUGAAAUGAACAAACCCCCAAAUAAAUCCGCAUGCAUGGACUGGAAGUGACAAUAUUUAUUAUCUACCAAUUUAUUCUUGUUUCUGACUUGAUGUCUGACUAGCAUGUGUGACUUUCUCAGUUCUGGCCUGCAUAAUGAGAUCCAGUGCAACCCUAUAAAGACUAUAAUCUACAUACUUUGCUUAUACGUACACUUGUGACUGUUACCCAACAUUCAAGAAGUACAAUCCUAUUUCUAGUGGUUCAAGAAUCCUCAAUCCAACAUGUCAUUAGCCAGAAAGCUAGGUAGAAAUUAUAUUACCAGAUAAGUUGCCCACAGUAUCCCGAGCUUCUGGUACCCCUAGGCUAGCUUCUACUGGCACUCUAGAUUAUGCAUACUAUAAUAACCACAGACUCUAGUAUACAGCUAUUUCAAUUAUAAGGUUGUCCACGAACAAAGCGGAAAAGUCGAAUACGAGCGCGAAAGGCUGCUGGGAAUUGCUUACAAAUUAAUGAAUUUUCAAAGCGAUUCCCAUCAGCCUUUCGCGCUCGUAUUCGACUUUUCCGCUUUGCUCGUGAACAACCUUAAUUGAAAUAGCUG
Molecule: long non-coding RNA, 4383 nt
Filed under: Paramuricea clavata
Lineage: Eukaryota; Metazoa; Cnidaria; Anthozoa; Malacalcyonacea; Plexauridae
Source: RNAcentral